This 722-nucleotide ribosomal RNA is filed under the name uncultured Lachnospiraceae bacterium. Its description in RNAcentral is "bacterial SSU rRNA". It matches the Rfam family "Bacterial small subunit ribosomal RNA", at positions 28 to 751 of the family's 1533-position model. The record is from RNAcentral. Lineage: Bacteria; Bacillati; Bacillota; Clostridia; Lachnospirales; Lachnospiraceae.
GAUGAACGCUGGCGGCGUGCUUAACACAUGCAAGUCGAACGGGAAACUUUUCAUUGAAGCUUCGGCAGAUUUGGUCUGUUUCUAGUGGCGGACGGGUGAGUAACGCGUGGGUAACCUGCCUUAUACAGGGGGAUAACAACCAGAAAUGGUUGCUAAUACCGCAUAAGCGCACAGGACCGCAUGGUCCGGUGUGAAAAACUCCGGUGGUAUAAGAUGGACCCGCGUUGGAUUAGCUAGUUGGCAGGGCAACGGCCUACCAAGGCGACGAUCCAUAGCCGGCCUGAGAGGGUGAACGGCCACAUUGGGACUGAGACACGGCCCAGACUCCUACGGGAGGCAGCAGUGGGGAAUAUUGCACAAUGGGGGAAACCCUGAUGCAGCGACGCCGCGUGAAGGAAGAAGUAUCUCGGUAUGUAAACUUCUAUCAGCAGGGAAGAUAGUGACGGUACCUGACUAAGAAGCCCCGGCUAACUACGUGCCAGCAGCCGCGGUAAUACGUAGGGGGCAAGCGUUAUCCGGAUUUACUGGGUGUAAAGGGAGCGUAGACGGACUGGCAAGUCUGAUGUGAAAGGCGGGGGCUCAACCCCUGGACUGCAUUGGAAACUGUUAGUCUUGAGUGCCGGAGAGGUAAGCGGAAUUCCUAGUGUAGCGGUGAAAUGCGUAGAUAUUAGGAGGAACACCAGUGGCGAAGGCGGCUUACUGGACGGUAACUGACGUUGAGG